UACGUAGGGUGCAAGCGUUGUCCGGAAUUAUUGGGCGUAAAGAGCUCGUAGGCGGUCUGUCGCGUCGGAUGUGAAAAUCCAGGGCUCAACCCUGGACCUGCAUUCGAUACGGGCAGACUAGAGUUCGGUAGGGGAGACUGGAAUUCCUGGUGUAGCGGUGGAAUGCGCAGAUAUCAGGAGGAACACCAACGGCGAAGGCAGCUCGCUGGGACGGUACUGACACUGAGGCGCGAAAGCGUGGGGAGCGAACAGG
Molecule: ribosomal RNA, 253 nt
Filed under: uncultured bacterium
Lineage: Bacteria
Description: partial 16S ribosomal RNA
Rfam family: Bacterial small subunit ribosomal RNA
Source: RNAcentral